ACACGACUCUCGGCAACGGAUAUCUUGGCUCUCGCAUCGAUGAAGAACGUAGCAAACUGCGAUACUUGGUGUGAAUUGCAGAAUCCCGUGAACCAUCGAGUCUUUGAACGCAAGUUGCGCCCGAAGCCAUUAGGCCGAGGGCACGUCUGCCUGGGCGUCACGCA
Molecule: ribosomal RNA, 164 nt
Filed under: Ruehssia carvalhoi
Lineage: Eukaryota; Viridiplantae; Streptophyta; Magnoliopsida; Gentianales; Apocynaceae
Description: Marsdenia carvalhoi 5.8S ribosomal RNA
Rfam family: 5.8S ribosomal RNA
About the family: 5.8S ribosomal RNA (5.8S rRNA) is a component of the large subunit of the eukaryotic ribosome. It is transcribed by RNA polymerase I as part of the 45S precursor that also contains 18S and 28S rRNA. Functionally, it is thought that 5.8S rRNA may be involved in ribosome translocation.
Source: RNAcentral